Molecule: ribosomal RNA, 213 nt
Filed under: uncultured Rhodospirillaceae bacterium
Lineage: Bacteria; Pseudomonadati; Pseudomonadota; Alphaproteobacteria; Rhodospirillales; Rhodospirillaceae
Description: partial 16S ribosomal RNA
Rfam family: Bacterial small subunit ribosomal RNA
Source: RNAcentral
AGGAAGCGGGAUGACGUCAAGUCCUCAUGGCCCUUACGGGCUGGGCUACACACGUACUACAAUGGUGGUGACAGUGGGAUGCGAAAGCGCGAGCUGGAGCGAAUCCCCAAAAGCCAUCUCAGUUCGGAUUGCACUCUGCAACUCGAGUGCAUGAAGUUGGAAUCGCUAGUAAUCGUGGAUCAGAAUGCCACGGUGAAUACGUUCCCGGGCCUU